GCUGGCGUAGCUCAGUUGGUCAGAGCGGCACUUUCGUAAAGUGUAGGUCGUCGGUUCGACUCCGACCGCCAGCU
RNAcentral lists this transfer RNA (74 nucleotides) under Candidatus Dojkabacteria bacterium. Its description in RNAcentral is "tRNA-Thr". It matches the Rfam family "tRNA". Rfam says of the family: Transfer RNA (tRNA) molecules are approximately 80 nucleotides in length. Their secondary structure includes four short double-helical elements and three loops (D, anti-codon, and T loops). Further hydrogen bonds mediate the characteristic L-shaped molecular structure. tRNAs have two regions of fundamental functional importance: the anti-codon, which is responsible for specific mRNA codon recognition, and the 3' end, to which the tRNAs corresponding amino acid is attached (by aminoacyl-tRNA synthetases). tRNAs cope with the degeneracy of the genetic code in two manners: having more than one tRNA (with a specific anti-codon) for a particular amino acid; and 'wobble' base-pairing, i.e. permitting non-standard base-pairing at the 3rd anti-codon position. The record is from RNAcentral.